UCUAGAAAGGCGGCGGCGGGAGCGGCAGCAGCAGCAGGAGCAGCAGCACGAGCGGCAGCAGCGUUGGAGCCCCGCCGGCAGCGGUGCGAUUUCUCGGGCAGAGCCAGUCCCCACCCCGGCGCCAGGACGAGUCCGGUUCGAGUUCGACCGCGGAGAUCUCUCUCAUCUCGCUCGGCUGCGGGGAAUCGGGCUGAGGCGACUGAGGCCGCGAUGGAGAGAGAAAAGGAACAGUUUCGUAAAUUGUUCAUUGGUGGCUUGAGCUUUGAAACAACAGAAGAAAGUUUGAGAAACUACUAUGAGCAAUGGGGAAAACUUACAGACUGUGUGGUAAUGAGGGAUCCGGCAAGCAAACGGUCAAGGGGAUUUGGUUUUGUGACAUUUUCAUCGAUGGCCGAAGUUGAUGCAGCAAUGUCCGCCAGACCUCAUUCAAUUGAUGGAAGAGUGGUUGAGCCCAAAAGAGCAGUAGCCAGGGAGGAAUCUGGAAAACCCGGGGCUCAUGUUACUGUGAAGAAACUGUUUGUUGGUGGAAUUAAAGAAGAUACUGAAGAACAUCACCUUAGGGACUACUUUGAGGAAUACGGGAAAAUUGAUACCAUUGAAAUAAUUACAGAUAGACAAUCUGGUAAAAAACGGGGCUUUGGCUUUGUUACAUUUGAUGACCAUGACCCUGUGGAUAAAAUCGUGUUGCAGAAAUACCAUACCAUCAAUGGCCAUAAUGCAGAAGUAAGAAAAGCGUUAUCUAGGCAAGAAAUGCAGGAAGUCCAAAGUUCUAGGAGUGGAAGAGGAGGUAACUUUGGUUUUGGAGAUUCACGUGGUGGUGGUGGAAAUUUUGGACCAGGACCUGGAAGCAAUUUCAGAGGUGGAUCUGAUGGAUAUGGAAGUGGUCGUGGAUUUGGGGAUGGUUACAAUGGGUAUGGCGGAGGACCUGGAGGUGGCAAUUUUGGAGGUAGUCCUGGUUAUGGAGGAGGAAGAGGAGGAUAUGGUGGUGGAGGAGGAGGAGGACCUGGCUAUGGCAACCAGGGUGGGGGCUACGGAGGUGGUUAUGACAACUAUGGAGGAGGCAAUUAUGGAAGUGGAAACUAUAAUGAUUUUGGAAACUACAACCAACAACCUUCCAAUUACGGUCCAAUGAAGAGUGGAAACUUUGGUGGUAGCAGGAACAUGGGAGGACCAUAUGGUGGAGGGAAUUAUGGUCCUGGAGGAAGUGGAGGAAGUGGGGGAUAUGGAGGGAGAAGCCGAUAUUAAGCCUUUUCCUAUUUUGCAGUGGAUCUUUUAGAUGCUGCUUCUUCAAUGCAAGGAAAGGAAAUACCCCCCAGCGAGGUACUCUUCAGGGACACAGGUCUAGUACAAGAGAACUCUUGAAAACGCCUACUAAAUUCAGCCAGUCUUAAAAAACUGUGCUGUAUUUCUGCAAAGCUUUAACCACAGUAGUUUUAUAAGGAUGCCAUCGAAAGCUGAGGGUGUAGAGCAAAAUAGUUCUAAGCUUCAGUUAAACUUCUUUAGCAUUGAUAUGAACCCUGGACAAGCGUAGUCUGCUGCCACAAAGACUAAAAAUGCUACAUUUCAACAACCGAGACAAGCAAGUGAUCAUUAAUAAAGCUUUUCUUGGGUUCCUUCAGUGGUGGUGGUAGUAAAAUGGAUGGUGUCUUGCUGCAGGUAACUAAUGAAGAAGUGGUCAACCACAGAAACCUUCAAGAAAUCAGAAAUUCUGUCCCAUCUGAAAUAGGUUCUUACUGGUCUCUCUACACCAGUUUAAUUUAGAUGAAAGGAAUAAGUAUCCUGAUAAUAAAGACCAAAAAACCUCAAUGAA
Molecule: RNA transcript, 1810 nt
Organism: Tachyglossus aculeatus (Australian echidna)
Lineage: Eukaryota; Metazoa; Chordata; Mammalia; Monotremata; Tachyglossidae
Gene: HNRNPA2B1
Gene name: heterogeneous nuclear ribonucleoprotein A2/B1
Exons: 13
Source: RefSeq, a predicted model, not a curated record